GGUUCUAUGGGGUAGUGGUUAGCCCCCGGGAUUUUGAUUACAUCAUUGUUUCCCGUGACCCCGGUUCGAAUCCGGGUAAAACCU
Hysterangium stoloniferum is the source of this 84-nucleotide non-coding RNA. The record is from the annotation of a GenBank genome assembly. NCBI's taxonomy places the organism in Eukaryota, Fungi, Basidiomycota, Agaricomycetes, Hysterangiales, Hysterangiaceae.